ACACCAUUCUUUUAAUCUUAGUCUUAACUAAAUAAGUUAAAACAUUAUAUUCAAUCUUGGGAAGAUGAUAGUCAUACUUAUUUGAAAAUUAAUAUAGAGAUAGACAAUCCUUCCAUUAGUUAAGUAAUUUCAUGUGAACUUAAAUGCAACAUUAAAUGCUUAAUCUUUUGAUCUUACCACUCAUAAAUAAAUAAAUCAUGUAACACAACUUUAUCUUUUUUAAUAUGCCUAAGGAUGGAGAAAAUAAAUAAAUAAAUAAAGAAAUAGAUUUGGUUUUGUUGGUGUUUUUCCACCAGCAGAGCCCAUGCACUUGAUCUCUACCUUAAUUUUGCAAACAGGACGACACAUCAAGCAAAGUUUAUUAAUUCUACAAGUGAAAGUUCUGCUAGCAUGCACACUGAGCAAGAUGCUGCCAGCUACUAUUAAAACUAUCCUUCAACUUGCUGACCAAAUCAAAGAACAAAAGUGACAUUACCAUCACUAGAGGUAUGCAACCAUCAAGACCUCCAUCUCUCAAGAUGGAGAGAUACAUAAGAGUAGAAGAAGAAGACC
This 552-nucleotide long non-coding RNA is filed under the name Sorghum bicolor (sorghum). RNAcentral describes it as "long non-coding RNA (SBIC_LNC005272)". Lineage: Eukaryota; Viridiplantae; Streptophyta; Magnoliopsida; Poales; Poaceae. The record is from RNAcentral.